GACGAACGCUGGCGGCGUGCUUAACACAUGCAAGUCGAGCGGUAAGGCCCUUUCGGGGGUACACGAGCGGCGAACGGGUGAGUAACACGUGGGUGACCUGCCCUCAGCUCUGGGAUAAGCCUGGGAAACGUGGGUCUAAUACCGGAUAUGACUCCAUGACGCAUGUUGUGGGGUGGAAAGCCUUGUGCGGCUGAGGAUGGGCCCGCGGCCUAUCAGCUUGUUGGUGGGGUGANGGCCUACCAAGGCGACGACGGGUAGCCGGCCUGAGAGGGCGACCGGCCACACUGGGACUGAGACACGGCCCAGACUCCUACGGGAGGCAGCAGUGGGGAAUCUUGCGCAAUGGGCGAAAGCCUGACGCAGCGACGCCGCGUGAGGGAUGACGGCCUCGGUUGUAAC
Molecule: ribosomal RNA, 399 nt
Filed under: uncultured bacterium
Lineage: Bacteria
Description: bacterial SSU rRNA
Rfam family: Bacterial small subunit ribosomal RNA
Source: RNAcentral